This 495-nucleotide RNase P RNA is filed under the name uncultured Dysosmobacter sp. RNAcentral describes it as "Bacterial RNase P class A". It matches the Rfam family "Bacterial RNase P class A". From Rfam's summary of the family: Ribonuclease P (RNase P) is a ubiquitous endoribonuclease, found in archaea, bacteria and eukarya as well as chloroplasts and mitochondria. Its best characterised activity is the generation of mature 5'-ends of tRNAs by cleaving the 5'-leader elements of precursor-tRNAs. Cellular RNase Ps are ribonucleoproteins. Lineage: Bacteria; Bacillati; Bacillota; Clostridia; Eubacteriales; Oscillospiraceae. The record is from RNAcentral.
CAGACAGUCGCGUGGCCAGGCCGAAAGGCCGGUCAUGAGGAAAGUCCGGGCUCCACAGGGCAAGGAUAACGGGUAACGCCCGCCCAGAGCGAUCUGAGGAAAAGUGCAACAGAGAUAUACCGCCGUCAAGGCUGCUCUGUGCUGGUAAACUGCGAUGGUUGAUGACACUUCCCCCGGGCGAAUGCGCAGGGGUGUUGUGUGAAGAGGGACGAAGGGUCCCGCUUCACGAUUUCAAUCAGCCCGCCCGCAGGCGGCCGAUUCCGCAGGAAUCGGUUUACCGGCAGAGCGCAGCUCUGACGGUAAGGGUGGAAAGGCGAGGUAAGAGCUCACCCAUCACAUGGGAACAUCGUGAUGCUGUAAACUCUAUCCGGAGCAACACCGGUAUGGGAGCAUACAGGCUGGCCCGGCCGCUCCCGGGGUGGCUUGAGCGUACUGGCAACAGUGCGUCGAGAUAGAUGACUGUCAAAUACAGAACCCGGCUUACAGUUUUGCUCG